This 253-nucleotide ribosomal RNA is filed under the name uncultured bacterium. RNAcentral describes it as "partial 16S ribosomal RNA". It matches the Rfam family "Bacterial small subunit ribosomal RNA", at positions 524 to 776 of the family's 1533-position model. The record is from RNAcentral.
CACGUAGGGUGCGAGCGUUGUCCGGAAUUAUUGGGCGUAAAGAGCUCGUAGGCGGUCUGUCGCGUCUGCUGUGAAAACCUAGGGCUUAACUCUGGGCGUGCAGUGGGUACGGGCAGGCUAGAGUGCGGUAGGGGAGACUGGAAUUCCUGGUGUAGCGGUGAAAUGCGCAGAUAUCAGGAGGAACACCGGUGGCGAAGGCGGCACGCUGGACCUCUUCUGACGCUGAGGCGCGAAAGCCAGGGGAGCAAACGGG